Molecule: ribosomal RNA, 459 nt
Filed under: uncultured bacterium
Lineage: Bacteria
Description: partial 16S ribosomal RNA
Rfam family: Bacterial small subunit ribosomal RNA
Source: RNAcentral
CUACGGGUGGCAGCAGUGAGGAAUAUUGGUCAAUGGGCGCGAGCCUGAACCAGCCAUCCCGCGUGCAGGAUGACGGCCCUAUGGGUUGUAAACUGCUUUUCUAUGCCAAGAAACCCUGUUACGAGUAACAGGUUGCCGGUAGCAUAGGAAUAAGCAUCGGCUAACUCUGUGCCAGCAGCCGCGGUAAUACGGAGGAUGCAAGCGUUAUCCGGAUUCAUUGGGUUUAAAGGGUGCGCAGGUGGGCUUGUAAGUCAGUGGUGAAAUGCUGCCGCUUAACGGUAGAACUGCCAUUGAUACUGCGAGUCUUGAGUAUGGUUGAGGUAGGCGGAAUGUGUUGUGUAGCGGUGAAAUGCAUAGAUAUGACACAGAACGCCAAUUGCGAAGGCAGCUUACUAAGCCAUUACUGACGCUGAGGCACGAAAGCGUGGGGAGCGAACAGGAUUAGAUACCCUGGUAGUC